AUCUAGUUGACGAUUCCCAAAUAGGACGAAACGUGCGUCUUGCAU
This 45-nucleotide non-coding RNA is filed under the name Schistosoma mansoni. The record is from RNAcentral. Lineage: Eukaryota; Metazoa; Platyhelminthes; Trematoda; Strigeidida; Schistosomatidae.